Molecule: long non-coding RNA, 1370 nt
Organism: Lates calcarifer (barramundi perch)
Lineage: Eukaryota; Metazoa; Chordata; Actinopteri; Centropomidae
Exons: 4
Source: RefSeq, a predicted model, not a curated record
UAACUCUGCUCUGAUUGGUCGAGCCUGAGACUGGAUUGACUCUCAAUCAUGCAGAUCACAAUCACCUGAAUGAUGAAUGUGUUUGUGUCUAUAAAUUGCUUGCUCUGCUGUGUGAUGGUGGUUUGACUCCUGCCUGACGAAGAUCUCUGGAUCCUGUAGGAAGGAUGAUUCCUGAUGGAGCGAUGCAGCACAGGUUACCAUGGCGAUCCACCCAAGUAAAGGUCUUGGUAAGGUCCCCUCAUCAUGCCACUGCUGGAAGCUACUUCUGUUGCGCAAGGAGAUAACAGGUCCAGCUCCCCGGGAGCCCCACAGGCUCUCACCAGGCUGUGCAGAAAAUCCACAAUUAACUGCGGGCAGAGGCAGAUGAGCGCAGAAAUACAUGCACAGAAAAGAGGGAUAUAGAACUUGGCCCACUCAUCAAGCUCUGCCCCGAAGGAUUAUACUUUCACCAGCUCACCCAGACUUUCUGGCCUUGGUGGAGGACUUGCUGCGGUGUUUGUCAUUCAGUGAGCACUGGGUUGUUCUCUUCAUUUGAACUUCAAAUGAUUCAAGUUGGACAAACUAAUCCUUUUUUUUUUACUGUACUUUAAUCUACUGCCCACCUGGAUCAUUUUUAACUGAAUUCUAUGAUCUUUUGUCUCCAUCUUUAAACUUCAUAGACUUGACCUUGCUGGUGUUUUUUUCAUAUUCAUAAUAUUACUGACAGUUCCACCUCUUGUAUUAUCAAUAUUAUAGAGUCUUUUAAUCUCACUCAAAUCGGGGAAGGAUAUGUUGUGACUGACAAGACAAGCGAAUGCAGGUUUUUGCAUCAUCAUUUCCAGUCUCCCAUUGUGGAGGCAACCCCAGAGUUUUCAAACUAAAACUAUGUACCCAUAACUUUAUGUUUUUGAGUUGUUUGGACACCAGGCAUAAACAUGGCAACAGCAAUGCUUAUUAAAACAAAAAAAUGUAACACUGAGGGUGUCCCAGAGGAAAAGAAAAUAAGAGAGGAGCUCUCAAAAAUUUUUCAUUUAUUUGUCCUAGACAUCUUUGAGGCCUGUGUGAAACCAGGAUGAGACUGUGGAUUAUUUCUCCUGUCUCUCAGUUUUUUCUCCAGAACAGAAAGAUGGACAAAGUCUCAAAUUAGCCUCCUUUUAAGUUUCAAGAGAGAUCUCAUCAAGCUCUAAAACGAUUCUCAGAUUUCCACAACUUUUGCGCCUCUGCUAGAUCUAAGGCAGAGAAAUAAGAGAGCUCUCUCUAUGAGCUCAAUCUAUUCUCAUCCCAGUCUUGUGUUAAAGUCAAUUCAUGCAUCUCCAGCUGAGCUCAGACAGAGCAAAUAAAGAGCUCUCCUCAAGCACUCACUGUAUUCUCAUCCAGACUUAAAUUAAUGU